This 450-nucleotide ribosomal RNA is filed under the name uncultured bacterium. RNAcentral describes it as "partial 16S ribosomal RNA". It matches the Rfam family "Bacterial small subunit ribosomal RNA", at positions 354 to 796 of the family's 1533-position model. The record is from RNAcentral.
GUGGGGAAUCUUCCGCAAUGGACGAAAGUCUGACGGAGCAACGCCACGUGAGUGAAGAAGGUUUUCGGAUCGUAAAGCUCUUUCGUUAGGGACGAACGUGCUCUUUGUGAAUAAUGAGGAGUAAUGACGGUACCUAAAUAAGAAGCCACGGCUAACUACGUGCCAGCAGCCGCGGUAAUACGUAGGUGGCAAGCGUUGUCCGGAAUUAUUGGGCGUAAAGCGCGCGCAGGCGGGAUAUCAAGUCUGUCUUAAAAGUGCGAGGCUCAACCUCGUGAGGGGACAGAAACUGGUAUUCUUGAGUGUCGGAGAGGAAAGUGGAAUUCCAAGUGUAGCGGUGAAAUGCGUAGAGAUUUGGAAGAACACCAGUGGCGAAGGCGACUUUCUGGACGAUGUCUGACGCUGAGGCGCGAAAGCUAGGGGAGCGAACGGGAUUAGAAACCCGGGUAGUCC